ACUAAAUGACUUAUCUAGUGUUGUUUGGGUUUAGAAUAUGUUAGAACACAAUUAUUUUGAUUGAUUACAAGUGCUAUAGAUUCAUGAAGACUGUUUUGAAGGAUGGAGAAAGACUUGUUGAAAUUGGGUCCCAAAUGGGCUAAGAACUCGGAAACAUUGCGUUGAAAACCUAAAUGACUUAUCUAGUGUUGUUUGGGGUUAGAAUAUGUUAGAAUACAAUGAAUUUGAUUGUUUACAAGUGCUAGAGAUGCAUGAAGAGUGUUGACAAGUGUGUAGAAAAACUUGUUGAAAUUGGGUCCCAUAUGGGCUAAGAACUCGGAAACAUUGAGUUGAACCACUAAAUGACUUAUCUACUGUUGUUUGGGGUUAGAAUAUGUUAGAAUACAAUUAAUUUGAUUGAUUAUAAGUUCUAGAGAUGCAUGAAGAGUGUUUAGAAGUGUGUAGAAACACUUGUUGAAAUUGGGUCCCAAAUGGGCUAAGAACUCGGACACAUUGCGUUGAACCACUAAAUGACUUAUCUAGUGUUGUUUGGGGUUAGAAUAUGUUAGAAUACAAUGAAUUUGAUUGAUUACAAGUGCAAGAGAUUCAUGAAGAGUGCUUAGAAGUGUGUAGAAAAACUUGUUGAAAUUGGGUCCCAAAUGGGCUAAGAACUCGGAAACAUUGCGUUGAACCACUAAAUGACUUAUCUAGUGUUGUUUCGGGUUAUAUCACGUUAGAAUACAAUAACUUUGAUUGAUUACAAGUGCUAGAGAUGCAUGAAGAGUUUUUAGAAGUGUGUAGAAAAACUUGUUGAAAUUGGAUCCCAAAUGGGCUAGGAACUCGGAAACAUUGCGUUGAACCACUAAAUCACUUAUCUAGGGUUUUUUGGGGUUAGAAUAUGUUAUAGAACAAUAAAUUUGAUUGAUUACAAGUGCUAGAAAUGCAUGAAGAGUGUUUUCAAGUAUGGAGAAAAACUUGUUGAAAUUGGGUCCCAUAUAGGCUACGAACUCGAAAACAAUGCGUUGAACCACUAAAUGGCUUGUCUACUGUUGUUUGGGGUUAGAAUAUGUUAGAAUGCAAUAAAUUUGAUUGAUUACAAGUGCUAGAGAUGCAUGAAGAGUGUUUUCAAGUAUGGAGAAAGACUUGUUGAAAUUGGGUCCCAAAUGGGCUAAGAACUCGGAAACAUUGAGUUGAACCACUAAAUGACUUAUCUACUGUUGUUUGGGGUUAGAAUAUGUUAGAAUACAAUUAAUUUGAUUUAUUACAAGUGCUAGAGAUGCAUGAAGAGUGUUUAGAAGUGUGUAGAAACACUUGUUGAAAUUGGGUCCCAAAUGGGAUAGGAACUCGGAAACAUUGCGUUGAACCACUAAAUGAGUUAUCUAGUGUUAUUUGGGGUAAGAAUAUGUUAGAAUACAAUAACUUGAUUGAUUACAAGUGCUAGAGAUUCAUGAAAAGUGUUAAGAAGUGUGUAGAAAGACUUGUUGAAAUUGGGUCCCAAAUGGGCUAAGAACUCAGGAACAUUGCGUUGAACCACUAAAUGAUUUAUCUAUUGUUGUUUGGGGUCAGAAUAUGUUAGAAUACUAUAAAUUUGAUUGAUUACAAGUGCUAGAGAUGCAUGAAGAGUGUUUAGAAGUGUGUAGAAAAACUUGUUGAAAUUAGGUCCCAAAUGGGCUAAGAACUCGGAAACAUUGCGUUGAAAACCUAAAUGACUUAUCUAGUGUUGUUUGGGGUUAGAAUAUGUUAGAAUACAAUGAAUUUGAUUGAUUACAAGUGCUAGAGAUGCAUGAAGAGUGUUUAGAAGUGUGUAGAAAGACUUGUUGAAAUUGGGUCC
Molecule: long non-coding RNA, 1810 nt
Filed under: Capsella rubella
Lineage: Eukaryota; Viridiplantae; Streptophyta; Magnoliopsida; Brassicales; Brassicaceae
Description: long non-coding RNA (CRUB_LNC000390)
Source: RNAcentral